UACGUAGGGUGCGAGCGUUAAUCGGAAUUACUGGGCGUAAAGCGUGCGCAGGCGGCUUUGCCAGACAGAUGUGAAAUCCCCGGGCUCAACCUGGGAACUGCAUUUGUGACUGCAAGGCUAGAGUACGGCAGAGGGGGAUGGAAUUCCGCGUGUAGCAGUGAAAUGCGUAGAUAUGCGGAGGAACACCAAUGGCGAAGGCAAUCCCCUGGGCCUGUACUGACGCUCAUGCACGAAAGCGUGGGGAGCAAACAGG
This 253-nucleotide ribosomal RNA is filed under the name uncultured bacterium. RNAcentral describes it as "partial 16S ribosomal RNA". It matches the Rfam family "Bacterial small subunit ribosomal RNA", at positions 524 to 776 of the family's 1533-position model. The record is from RNAcentral.